RNAcentral lists this microRNA precursor (201 nucleotides) under Oryza rufipogon (brownbeard rice). RNAcentral's name for it is "MIR812 microRNA precursor family". It matches the Rfam family "MIR812 microRNA precursor family". The record is from Rfam by way of RNAcentral. Lineage: Eukaryota; Viridiplantae; Streptophyta; Magnoliopsida; Poales; Poaceae.
UAUAAGUGCACUUAUGAAUUUUUGUGUCUAAUAUUUGACUGUUCGUCUUAUUUGAAAAUUUUAUAAAUUUUUUUAAUAAAAAUUAGUCACAAAUAGAGGACUAUUCAUAUUUUAUCAUCUAAUAACAAAUAAAAUACUAAUAAUAAAAUUUCUCAAAAUAAGACAGACGGUCAAACGUUGGACAUAAACACUGCAGUCUUU